This is a long non-coding RNA of Mya arenaria, 2125 nucleotides long. RefSeq lists it as uncharacterized. NCBI's taxonomy places the organism in Eukaryota, Metazoa, Mollusca, Bivalvia, Myida, Myidae. The record is from RefSeq and is a predicted model, not a curated record. The transcript is spliced from 6 exons.
UUCACUUUUACAUCUUACAUAAAACGACCUACAUUUGAAUUACGUUACGUAUAGUAUUUGUGCUGUAAAAAUAAUAGGUGUCAAAUAUAUGUUUGACAUAAACCUUUCCGACAACAGUGUUUUAAAUUGAAGUACUUAAAUAACUACAAUGGAAAGUUUAAAAGGAUACGUGUGUCUUAUCACAGGUUAACAACGCCGGAGUAUGUAAUGUAAUAGACAGUCUUGCAAAUGUGACACCUGAAGACUAUGACGAGAUUUUCGACACCAAUAUAAAGAGCCACGUUUUCCUGACGCAGCUGGCAAUUCCUUUCAUUAUCAAGGCCAAAGGAAGUAUCAUUAACAACUCGAGCAUUGGUGGGCAACGGGCAAAUUGGCACCGCAUGGAGUAAGAGUUAACUCUAUCAAUCCGGGACUGGUUGCUACCACCAUUUUCAGAUCAAACAUUGGUCCUAAGGAUUCUGACGACUAUACAAAGUUAAUGGAUGCUGAAGCAACCGUGCAUCCACUUGGACGAAUUGGACUUCCGGUUGAUUGCGCACGCGCAGUAGCUUUCCUUGCGUCCAAAGCUGCAAGCUUUACCACCGGUCAGAUAUUUUUCAUUGACGGUGGAAGACAUUGUGUCACUGCGGUUAACGUUGGCAUGCAAUAACAUUACAAAAAUGACAACAAGGGGAACUAAAACAGACAGUCAACCUAGCCUGAAUAAAAAUAACUAUUAAUCAAGGCAGAAACUCAGCGAGCGAACACAUUACAAGACAACAUUUUCAUAUUAUACAGGUAUUUGAGUUAUGGUGGCCAAACAAAUUGGGAUCAACGCCUUGGAACGGUCAGGAAAAUAAAUAAUGUGGGCUUAUUUUAUUCGAAAAUCGUCGUCAAACAUAAUUGUCAUAUUACAAACUAGUGACGUACUUAAUGUAUAAAUGUGACAUUUCAAAUUUCAAAACCAUGAUGAACGCAUACUUCAACGACAUUUCGGCCAACUGGAUGGAUGCCAUUGGACAACUCAUUGUAUUCAACAACAAUAAAUUGAAGAAAAUUCAACAGAGGCGUUAAGAAUGUCCGAUUGUUGAACGAAAAUGUCAAAACCACAACGACACAGAACUGAAAAACAAAUCUUUUGACAAUUUGUUCUGAUCUAUUAAACUAUGAUCAGAAAAAACACUUAAUUCAUUUCAUUCCAGCACUGAUUUGUUAUUUAAGUAUUUUGAAAAACCGUGCAUGGCCUAACGUCUUGGUAUUGCUCAUCCCGAUUUUUAUGGUGAUGUUUGAAAAAAAAUGGUGAAAUUAAAAGUUUUUAGCAGACAGUUAGACAGAUAGACACAAUGCAUUUCUUGGGUCUUAUUUAAACCGUGGAUAUUACAGAAGUAUGUUGAAGAGUACUUGCCUUCUUUUUGGGAGAUGAAUUCGUCAUAACAAAAUAAGAAGUUCUAUAUGUCGUCCUUACAUUACUGAGCUGACAGUGCUUUGAUUUUAUUAAAAUUAUGCAGAUUCGUGUUAUCAUUAAAACCGCUUUUGGUUUGCUAGGAAUGUUCCAGCGUGUGACGUCUCUUUCUGGUAAUCACUUGGUAGAAGAUUUUAGCAAAUACGUGUUUUGAUUUUAGUUUUAUUAAUUUAAUGUUUACUUUGUUUGUUCCCGGUUUUAGUACAAUGAUGCUAUUCAUUAUGAAACUCUUUGAUCGCACAAGAUUAAACCUUUUGUUUGCUAAGGCAGAUUGUGUGUGAUGUUUAUAGUUUCAAACAAUAAUUGCAUCAUAUCUUUAAGAAUGUUUUUGCAUUAGGUACUCUGUAUUGUAUUCCUGCAGAUUGAGUUAGGAUCAAGUAAUUAGUUUGGGUGCUUAAUCUUUUAAGUACUUGGUGUUUACCUAUUAUUUUAUUAUUAUUUGUUUUAUAAUUAAGUUUCCUCAAAUUAAUGAAUACUUUGAUAUGAUUUAACAUUUACCUUUUCACUUUAUUCGGGAUUGAGAGUAAGGUUGUGCUAACAAAUUGGUUUAAACCCCCUGUUAAUUAACACUUUUUACUUCCAAGGCGAUACCUAAUAAUCCUUCAUAAACACACCUAGAUUUGUAUAUAUAUAUGUACUGUAUUGUUUGUGGAGUUAAGUGUUGAUACAUUUUGUUUUUGGUUU